Molecule: ribosomal RNA, 68 nt
Filed under: Candidatus Phytoplasma solani
Lineage: Bacteria; Bacillati; Mycoplasmatota; Mollicutes; Acholeplasmatales; Acholeplasmataceae
Description: partial 23S ribosomal RNA
Source: RNAcentral
AAAGGAACUAAGGGCGCACAGUGGAUGCCUUGGCACUAAGAGCCGAUGAAGGAAUCACUAGUGAAUUC